GCACCUGCCAAUUCAGGUGUCGAGAUUAGCCUCCCGCCGAAGUGACCGCGACUUUAUUGACACGCCGCGAGCGUGUUUUUU
Non-coding RNA from Candidatus Hamiltonella defensa 5AT (Acyrthosiphon pisum), 81 nucleotides. The record is from Rfam. NCBI's taxonomy places the organism in Bacteria, Pseudomonadati, Pseudomonadota, Gammaproteobacteria, Enterobacterales, Enterobacteriaceae.